GUCCCUGUUGCGCAAUGGAUAGCUCAUUGGAUUUCUAAUCCUAAGAUCGUGGGUUGAAAUCCUACCUGGGAUG
This is a non-coding RNA of Trichonephila clavipes, 73 nucleotides long. NCBI's taxonomy places the organism in Eukaryota, Metazoa, Arthropoda, Arachnida, Araneae, Nephilidae. The record is from the annotation of a GenBank genome assembly.